CGAGCGGACAGAAGGGAGCUUGCUCCCGGAUGUUAGCGGCGGACGGGUGAGUAACACGUGGGUAACCUGCCUGUAAGACUGGGAUAACUCCGGGAAACCGGAGCUAAUACCGGAUAGUUCCUUGAACCGCAUGGUUCAAGGAUGAAAGACGGUUUCGGCUGUCACUUACAGAUGGACCCGCGGCGCAUUAGCUAGUUGGUGAGGUAACGGCUCACCAAGGCGACGAUGCGUAGCCGACCUGAGAGGGUGAUCGGCCACACUGGGACUGAGACACGGCCCAGACUCCUACGGGAGGCAGCAGUAGGGAAUCUUCCGCAAUGGACGAAAGUCUGACGGAGCAACGCCGCGUGAGUGAUGAAGGUUUUCGGAUCGUAAAGCUCUGUUGUUAGGGAAGAACAAGUGCAAGAGUAACUGCUUGCACCUUGACGGUACCUAACCAGAAAGCCACGGCUAACUACGUGCCAGCAGCCGCGGUAAUACGUAGGUGGCAAGCGUUGUCCGGAAUUAUUGGGCGUAAAGGGCUCGCAGGCGGUUUCUUAAGUCUGAUGUGAAAGCCCCCGGCUCAACCGGGGAGGGUCAUUGGAAACUGGGAAACUUGAGUGCAGAAGAGGAGAGUGGAAUUCCACUUGUAGCGGUGAAAUGCGUAGAGAUGUGGAGGAACACCAGUGGCGAA
Molecule: ribosomal RNA, 673 nt
Filed under: Bacillus sp. OTB66
Lineage: Bacteria; Bacillati; Bacillota; Bacilli; Caryophanales; Bacillaceae
Description: bacterial SSU rRNA
Rfam family: Bacterial small subunit ribosomal RNA
Source: RNAcentral